GUGAACGUUGGCGGUAGGCCUAACACAUGCAAGUCGAACGGCAGCACAGUAAGAGCUUGCUCUUACGGGUGGCGAGUGGCGGACGGGUGAGGAAUACAUCGGAAUCUACUUUUUCGUGGGGGAUAACGUAGGGAAACUUACGCUAAUACCGCAUACGACCUACGGGUGAAAGCAGGGGAUCUUCGGACCUUGCGCGAUUGAAUGAGCCGAUGUCGGAUUAGCUAGUUGGCGGGGUAAAGGCCCACCAAGGCGACGAUCCGUAGCUGGUCUGAGAGGAUGAUCAGCCACACUGGAACUGAGACACGGUCCAGACUCCUACGGGAGGCAGCAGUGGGGAAUAUUGGACAAUGGGCGCAAGCCUGAUCCAGCCAUACCGCGUGGGUGAAGAAGGCCUUCGGGUUGUAAAGCCCUUUUGUUGGGAAAGAAAAGCAGCAGGUUAAUACCCCGCUGUUCUGACGGUACCCAAAGAAUAAGCACCGGCUAACUUCGUG
Molecule: ribosomal RNA, 491 nt
Filed under: uncultured bacterium
Lineage: Bacteria
Description: partial 16S ribosomal RNA
Rfam family: Bacterial small subunit ribosomal RNA
Source: RNAcentral